This 909-nucleotide long non-coding RNA is filed under the name Capra hircus (goat). RNAcentral describes it as "lncRNA (ENSCHIG00000002316.1)". Lineage: Eukaryota; Metazoa; Chordata; Mammalia; Artiodactyla; Bovidae. The record is from RNAcentral.
CGAACCCAUGUCUCCUGUGUCUCCUGUGUGGCAGGAGGGUUCUUUACCGUGGAGCCACGGGGGGCGGCAGUUGGUAACUGCCCUCUGAGCAGGAAAAGCAAUAUAUAUAUAUCUCAUCCUCACAGCUCACCUAGCGAUGAUUCUGCCCCUUGUCCUGUGAAUCUGAACUGUGUGGACUCUGAGACUCGCUUGCCAUAGGGUUUGGAUUGGGUCUGGCGAAUGAGGAGGCCUUAGCAGGACAUCAGCAGGGAAGUAGGUCAAUGACCAGGCAUGGAACCCAGGCCCCCUACAUUGGGAGCGUCGAGUCUCAGCCAUUGGACCACCAGGGAAGUCCCAUUCAUUAGUUCACUCAUUCAUUCAUUCUGCUCUUUCGUGAGCACCCUCACAUAUCCCUAACAGACAUGUCCUAUUAUUAUUACUAUUUUCACAGGAGGAAACUGAGUCAAAGAGUGACUAAGCGGCUUGCUGAGGACCACACACACCAGGUAAAUGUUGGAUCUGGGGGCUGAAGUGGGGAUAUGCCAUAAGAACUUGAACCUUCAAGCUUCAGCACAGGGUGUCUAUUUGCAGUUAGAAAUUAUUCACACAUAGAAGUAAAAGGUCCUGAGCAGAUUCCCUUCUUUCCUCCUUCCCCAGCUCAUGCUUCCUGGGACUCUGCUCAGAGCAGGUAUGACUGCGUGCACAAAGAGAUGGAGAGAGACGAGGCAACCCACCAGGUCAGAGGCCUUCAGAUUUCCCUCCCCAGGUUCCCCUCCAUGGAGCAGAGACAGGAGGGCCAGCCACCGCAAUGACCUCCUACUGCCAUUAGAAACAGCCCCACAGGGGUUAAUGCAAGACGUUCUGCUUUGGAUGAGACACUGGUUUAAUUUAUAUUUGAUUAAAAAAGUCAUUCAUUCAUGCAUUCAGCAG